Molecule: ribosomal RNA, 253 nt
Filed under: uncultured bacterium
Lineage: Bacteria
Description: partial 16S ribosomal RNA
Rfam family: Bacterial small subunit ribosomal RNA
Source: RNAcentral
UACGUAGGGUGCAAGCGUUGUCCGGAAUUAUUGGGCGUAAAGAGCUUGUAGGCGGUUUGUCGCGUCUGCCGUGAAAAUCCGGGGCCCAACCCCGGACUUGCGGUGGGUACGGGCAGACUAGAGUGUGGUAGGGGAGACUGGAAUUCCUGGUGUAGCGGUGAAAUGCGCAGAUAUCAGGAGGAACACCGAUGGCGAAGGCAGGUCUCUGGGCCACUACUGACGCUGAGAAGCGAAAGCGUGGGGAGCGAACAGG